Long non-coding RNA from Helianthus annuus (common sunflower), 624 nucleotides. RefSeq lists it as uncharacterized. The transcript has 3 exons. The record is from RefSeq and is a predicted model, not a curated record. Lineage: Eukaryota; Viridiplantae; Streptophyta; Magnoliopsida; Asterales; Asteraceae.
AUAAAAAUUUAUGCAUGGACCCCCUCCCCCACCUAAUUUUCGGUUUUAGCUAUGUGGCCCCCACCAAAUUUUGCAAGAUUAGGAAAAUAUUCCUUUUUACUCUCAUUGGCCAAGUGUGGUGCAUGUAAUCAUUCCAUGUUCCCCAUAUCUUCCAUAUAAUCCUCCAACUUCCAAGAACCAUCAUCACCUCUCUCUCUCCUCCCUCCCAACCGUCCCCCAUCUCUCUCUCUCCAUCUUCAAACCUUCAAACUCUUGUUCUUCAUGUUCAUCACUAUUUCUAACAACCUUCAAGUGGUGUGAAGAUUCAAGGGUGAUCUCAAGGUGUUCUCUAGUGAUUCAAGCUUCCCAUCAUCUUCACUAGAAUUUCUACCCUAGCUUUGUGCUAGUAGUUGUCGUGUAGCGGACAGGGUUUGAGAUUCGAUUCAAGACGCACUACUGAGCUGUUGCUUAGGAUGUUCGUGACACACUAGGGCGGGCCUAUGCCUUAGAGACUAAAAUAAAGAUGGAACCAGUUUAAUUAUGUGAUGAACACUUUGUUUCAGUUAAUUUAAGACUAUGUAACCUUUGCUUGAUGAAUAAAACAUAACUUUUAAUUACCAUGGUUGUGAAACAAUAAUUCUGUUA